RNAcentral lists this ribosomal RNA (376 nucleotides) under uncultured bacterium. RNAcentral's name for it is "bacterial SSU rRNA". It matches the Rfam family "Bacterial small subunit ribosomal RNA", at positions 30 to 400 of the family's 1533-position model. The record is from RNAcentral.
AGUGAACGCUGGCGGCAGGCCUAACACAUGCAAGUCGAGCGGCAGCACGGCAAUAGCAAUAUUGUGGGUGGCGAGCGGCGGACGGGUGAGGAAUGCAUCGGGAUCUACCCUGUCGUGGGGGACAACGUAGGGAAACUUACGCUAAUACCGCAUGAUCUGGAGACAGCAAAGCCGGGGACCUUCGGGCCUGGCGCGAUGGGAUGAGCCGAUGUCCGAUUAGCUAGUUGGCGGGGUAAAGGCCCACCAAGGCGACGAUCGGUAGCUGGUCUGAGAGGACGACCAGCCACACUGGAACUGAGACACGGUCCAGACUCCUACGGGAGGCAGCAGUGGGGAAUAUUGGACAAUGGGGGCAACCCUGAUCCAGCCAUGCCGC